RNAcentral lists this antisense RNA (75 nucleotides) under Streptomyces sp. ADI92-24. Its description in RNAcentral is "ASpks TB sRNA". It matches the Rfam family "ASpks TB sRNA". RNAcentral also lists the same sequence under 1 other name. The record is from RNAcentral. Lineage: Bacteria; Bacillati; Actinomycetota; Actinomycetes; Kitasatosporales; Streptomycetaceae.
CUUGAGCGAGCCCAGCCGCAGCGGCUGUUCGGCGGUACGGUCCUGGCCGUAGGUGGCGAGCAGGGCCUGCGCCUC